GCUGCUUGCUCAUCGGCUAGGCUCAGCGUCAAUGGCGGCUUCUACGACUUCGGGUACUAGCUCACCGAGUCAUCGGCCAUGGGCGGCGUCGGGCCGGUGUCCAGCCUCGGUUUUCUCUAGAUUGACGAGAGAGUUGAUUGAUUGUUCUUCGGGCAUCCCAUUGGCUCCGUACGUGGUCCCUACUUCUUCGGACGGAGGCUCAGGGAUGUAUGGAAUCUAGGUGCAGCCGUUUGGAGACGGUAGCACGGGAGUUAUUUAACCGGUUUGGAUGGCGCGCAGGUCUUAAGCCGGAAGGAUUUUGAUGUUUUCCUUUCACUCUCUGUUCUUUAUCUUUUGUAAUUCGGAAACAUGUACUUUAAAUACUUUUAAUAAUUUAUGGCUGUAUGCAUCGCUCGAUGCAGAGACCGGGGGAAGUCCUCCUUUUCGAAAAAAAUUUGCAUAUUUGUAAGAACCUCA
Molecule: long non-coding RNA, 456 nt
Organism: Brachypodium distachyon (stiff brome)
Lineage: Eukaryota; Viridiplantae; Streptophyta; Magnoliopsida; Poales; Poaceae
Exons: 2
Source: RefSeq, a predicted model, not a curated record